Molecule: long non-coding RNA, 5182 nt
Organism: Capra hircus (goat)
Lineage: Eukaryota; Metazoa; Chordata; Mammalia; Artiodactyla; Bovidae
Source: Ensembl
UAGAAGUUCUUGCCCGCCCGGUUGAUGACCAUCUCCUUCUGUUCUCUUCUCUUCCAGACACAACUCAGAUGAACAACGCAGUGCCCACCUCCCCUUUGCUCCAGCAGAUGGGCCACCCGCAUUCCUAUCCCAGCCUGGGCCAGAUCUCCAACCCUUACGAACAGCAGCCGCCCGGCAAAGAGCUCAACAAGUACGCCUCCUUGAAGGCAGUCGGAAGUUCUGAGGGUGACUGGACAGUGGCGACACUUAAGUCACCGAAAGCUGACAAGGUAAACGAUGACUUCUACUCCAAGCGACGGCACCUGGCUGAGCUGGCUGCCAAGGGGAACUUACCUCUGCAUCCUGUAAGAGUGGAGGAUGAGCCACGGGCUUUCAGCCCUGAGCACGGCCCUGCCAAGCAGAAUGGACAGAAGUCCCGCACCAACAAGACGCCCCCCCACCCCCUGGCCUACAACUCCACUGCCAACUUUAAGAGCUGGGACCCCAAGGAUCAGUCUCUCCGGCGGCAACAGGCUUAUGGGAACAAGGGCAAGCUUGGCACGGCUGAGUCAGGCUCCAGCGACCCCUUGGGAACUCGCACCCCGCACUACCCACCCCCACAGCCAUACUUCAUCACCAACAGCAAAACGGAAGUGACUGUCUGAGCUGUCGCCACAGGGGACAUCCUGGAGACCACACUCAACUGAGAGAGGCAAAAAAAUACCCCAGCCCACGUCUUCCCUGUCCCCCGCCAGCACACCCACCUACACACUCAUCCUCCACAGCAAUUGAUGAUAAACCUCCUGGUGACAUGGAAUCGUGCUUUUCCUUUGUCCUGCCUAACGUGUGUCGGCAGGCAGCCGAGCAAGACUGGAGCGUGGAUGGUCCAUGGUACAGCCAAGGGGGAAUGGAGACACCCUCUUUCAACUUCAGGGCUGAGGUGGCCGACUCACACGCCCAAACCAUGGGGCUGAUUUUUUCUUUUCCUCCUAACUUGAAACUGAAAUCCAUGAUGGGAAAAAAAAAAAAAAAAAAAGGUAGCACAAUUUAGAGAAAUUGUCCAGUUGAGCACAUAUACCAUUUACCACAUGUUGUCUGUUUCUGGGUGAAAAAGUGAGAAAAGGGUGGAAAGGGUGGGGUAGAGAAAAGGGGUUGUGCGUGCCUGUGAUAAGCAUUUCCUAAUCCCAGGAAGCGGUGGUAUGGACACAGAACUUUGCUAAGCAUGAGGUAGUAACUGGACCCCACCACCACCACCAUGCUUUUAGUACUUUUCAUAUCAUCAAGGUUGGAAGCAAAAACAACAUACAGUCAAACUCACAAAAAAUAAGCAGAUCCUGAACCCACCUACAGUGAUGGGAAAGAGAGGCCAUUUUUAGACAACUCCCAUAAAGACCGUGGAAAUGGAAGGGGUAGGCUUGUAUGGCAGGAAGAGGGUCCAGAGAGUCUUCAACAACUAUUUUUUAAAAAAGAAAAGUACAAUAGAAUCCCACUACCAAACAGACAAGAACAGCAAAGUAAUUUUUGUCCAAUAUUUUCAAGACCUAGGAAAUCAACAACGUCAUCAAGAACAAACAAAAUUCACAGUUGAGAUGUCAACGAGAGGCCGGAAGGGGACACGGAGCCUGUGACUUCUGGCAUUCCCCCCUAGCCUCUGAGACAAGAAACAGACACAAAACCCAGUCCUCUGUCAACUGUCUAUCCCUGACUCCCUUCCCUUUCAGCCUGUUGCUGCCGCCGCCGCCGCUGCCAAAUUUCAACUGCUUUGGACUGAAAAUGUCAUAAGCGUGGGUGGUGCCUUCAAUGUGUCACUGUUGAAUGACAGUCUUGUUUCCCAAAUGCAACCUGUGUUCUUUUACCUUCCUCCCUCCUGUCUUUCUGCAGUAGUAGAAGCUGUUUCCAUCCUCCUUAUGUUGGUGAGCCCACCCCACCACACACUCUGAGGGGGCUGUUGCAACUUGCAAAGACCAAGACCUCCUUACCACCCACACCCUCAAAAUUCCAUGAGUCCCAUGAUCUUUUAGCUCCCCAAGCAUUUCUGGGUCCCACGGUCCCUCCAAACCACCUCCCCAGGUACUGUGGUACAUUCAUCCCCCAUUCAUGAUCCCCCAAGGUGGGUGUUCAGAUUGGUUCUCGUAGCUAAAGGAUGUCCCAACAAAGACAGUUUUCCUACUAGUUUGAUUUGCUUGGUGGUGGUGGUUUAGUCAUUAAGCCACGUCCGACUCUCACCACCCCAUGGACUGUAGCCUGCCAGGUUACAUCCAUGGAUUUUCCCAGGCAAGAAUAUGGAGUGGGUUGCCAUUUCCUUCUCCAGGAGAUCUUCCCCACCCAGGGAUCAAACUUGCAUUUCCCGCAUUGGCAGGCAGAUUCUUUACCACUGACCAUGAAGGAAGUUUAGUGGAAGUCCAAAGAGGGGAACUGACAGAGAAGAGAUUUGCAUUUAAGGUGAGAAGUUUUCAAUUUGUCCCUCAAGGGUUUGGCUAAUUAACAGGAGCCUCUGAGAGACCCCAAGGUCUUCUGUUGUCAGAAGCUCAAUGUGGUUUGGUCCAAGACCCUUCCUGGAAUGCUGGACUUCAGCCUCCUCAUCUCUGCACUCUGACGUCAUGGGAUCAGGGAAACCAGCUGUUUAUUCCUUAGUCCCGGCUGAUCUGGGGAUGUGCACCAUGCAUGUCAUCCCUCUGGGCUUUAGUCUUCCAUUGCUACAUGGGGAAUUGGGGAGAGAUCAAGAUUUUCAAGAUUUCUGAAAAUGAAAAUGAAAAAAUGAAAUCGUGCCCAGAAGACCUCCUGUUGGAUCCCUGUGCAGACCGAGGCUCUGUGCUAGAUGAAGCAGGGAUGGGGGUUUCAGUGCGUUUUCUCAGCCCCUUGGCUGAAAUCCCAGUGCUCCCUACUGUAGAGUAAACACCAUGGGGCUUGGUCAAUGUCUCAUUGAUGUUAGUUAUCUGUGUACUUGCAACACACUUUUGGCAUGUCUGUGUGUUCCUGUCACAAUACUUGUACCUAAAUUGAUGCGUUUUUUGUAACACUUUAAAUGACCACGUAAACAGCAUUGUCAUGCACCUAAAAAAGAAACAGCCAGAAAACAGCACUGAUACUUAAGAGGAAAAGAGAUCAGCGUUUGUUAAACAUGUACACAGCAACCAUCUAGCAUUAAAUACACAGAACUCCAAGACAUUUCUGACAAAGCAAGGCCUCAGACUCAUUUCUUUCCAAGUGGGAAUGGAGGGAAAUGCAUAGUUAUUUAUAAUAUGAGGGCCAUUUUUCAUGCAUAUGGUAUUUUCUAUGUCUUAUGGGUUUUCAUUAUUGGUGUUCUAACUUCAAUAAAUAAGUUAUUUGAAGUCAGAUUUAGAAAAUAUUAGACCUUCCCUGGUAAUCUUCGGUGACAUUUAUUUAGUAUAUGGCUCUAUGUGUCCUAAGUCUAGUGGCUUUGAAUUAAGAAUGUAUAAAAAGUGCUGGUGUUAGAGUCAGUGGAGCAGGAAGUGUUAUUUGCUACCAUUACCCUGGAGACCUGCUUAAUUUCAGUGAUAAAUUGGUGCAUUUUAAAUACAUUUACCUUCUGAAAGGAAAACUUCCUGCCAGUAUCAUAAAUAGAAAACCAGUAUUCCUCAGUGGCAGCCAUCCUAAACAGGAAGUAAGUGUAAAAUUAUUAAGUUCUAAUUACAGACUAUCGCCCAUGGAAGGGUUUGAGCCUGGCCUUUGCUGUCCCCUUUUCUUCCUUCUUUCCCUCCUCUCUUUCUCUCCGCUUUUCUUUAUUGUUAUUGUUGUUUUUCAGUCACUUAGUCGUGUCUGACUCUUUGCGACUCCGUGGACUGUAGCCCGCCAGGCUCCUCUGUCUGUGGGAUUUCCCAGGCAAGCAUACUGAAGUGGGUUGCCAUUUCCUUCUCCACGGGAUCUUCCUGAUCCAGGGAUCAAACCCGCUUUUCCUGCUGGCAAGCGGACUCUUUACCACUGAGCCAUCAGGGAAGCCCUUUUCUUUAUUAAACAGAUUAGCAGACAUUCAAGAGUUGCUGAAGAUAUUCUAGCCCCCAAUGGAGACUUUCUCUUUGAAGUAAUCAAAUGGACUGACGAAAGUGAAAAGGGAAUCAUUUCCCACGUGACAAUGUUAAUUAGUGCCCUAUGCAUGUACUACUUAAAUUUGGCUUGCAUUUGCUAGUGGUACACAGCACAUACUUAAGGAAAUAUGGGAUUGGCUCAUUUGGUGAGGUUUCCUUCAGCUCAAAAGUUCUCUCCUUCUAGUCUCCCAUUGAGCUGGUUUCUCUGCUCCCUGCCCUCAAUCCCUUUCAUGUGACCUUUACCCCAGCCCUGAUUAAGGACCUUUCUUGGUCUCUGAAUCUACAGGGUGUAUUCUUCGUGUUCCUUCUCUUCCCAGUAAACUGCCUCCAGUGAAUUUUGUUAGUUGGGAGUCUGCAGCUAUAAUUUUGGCAGUGAAGUUGCAGCAUGGUCCGUAAGAAGUAGCAGUGGUGAGAAUCCAAGAACAGUAUUGGGUUGGCCAAAAUUUUCCUUUGGGUUUUUCCCUGAGGUGUUACAAACUUUGUGACAAGCCCAAUCCUUAGCCUUGUUACCUUCCUCUUGGCUGUGGGAGCUGAACUCACGUGGGGGCAGUGAGGAAGUUUCGACAGGGAAGUUUGUGUUUUGGCUUCUUCUAGGGAGAGUGGACAGACCUUUUGAUACUGAGAGAUUACCCUGAUGGGUGACCUGUAGAACUAUGAUGGCCAUGGCUAUGAUGGCAAGGCUCCUCCAGCUAAAAUGGGCAGAUUCAGAAGACAGAAACCGGAACAAGGCAGGGAGACUGCCUUCUCAUCCCAUGCCCUGGCACUUGCCUCUACGUACUCUUAGCUCCUCCCCCCACUUCCAACCCAAUGGGACCAGAAUCUGACCACUCUUUGCCCUCCCAGAAUAUCUCAUCCUUCAUCUGCCUUGGGCUCCACCUGGCAUCCCCAUCUAACUCUCCCCAGGUUUUUUUUUUGUGUGUGUGUGUAAAUGGAGCAUAUUUUAUGUGCAAAUAUUUUAGUAACCGUAUGUUCUGCAAGUAAACCUGUGUUAAUACUUGUCAACAACUGCAGAGUUUAUGAUACCAAUAAUACUUCCUACAAUGAUUAAAAAAACAUUUGUUUGUUUUCUAAGAAUGUUUAUUUGUAAACAUAUGUAUUCACUAUAUUAAUAUGAAUUUCUUACCUGGCAAUAAAAUUGAUUAUAUGUGAUGCUGUUG